GAUGAACGCUGGCGGCGUGCUUAACACACGCAAGUCGAACGAAGCAUUUGCGACAGAUUUUUUCGGAAUGAAGUUGCUUAUGACUGAGUGGCGGACGGGUGAGUAACGCGUGGGUAACCUGCCUUGUACUGGGGGAUAGCAGCUGGAAACGGCUGGUAAUACCGCAUAAGCGCACAAUGUUGCAUGACAUGGUGUGAAAAACUCCGGUGGUAUAAGAUGGACCCGCGUCUGAUUAGCUAGUUGGUGAGAUAACAGCCCACCAAGGCGACGAUCAGUAGCCGACCUGAGAGGGUGACCGGCCAGAUUGGGACUGAGACACGGCCCAGACUCCUACGGGAGGCAGCAGUGGGGAAUAUUGCACAAUGGAGGAAACUCUGAUGCAGCGACGCCGCGUGAGUGAAGAAGUAAUUCGUUAUGUAAAGCUCUAUCAGCAGGGAAGAUAGUGACGGUACCUGACUAAGAAGCUCCGGCUAAAUACGUG
Molecule: ribosomal RNA, 481 nt
Filed under: uncultured bacterium
Lineage: Bacteria
Description: partial 16S ribosomal RNA
Rfam family: Bacterial small subunit ribosomal RNA
Source: RNAcentral